CUGUCUCAAUAUUAGAUGGUCCCAUGUCCUUCAGAAUGCUCAGUGGAGGCUUAUCUGUAAAGACAUUAAACAAAGAAAAAUGACUGAAGGUGGAAGAAGUGCAAAUCCAGAGAUAACAUGAUCUCCAAAUGGCAAUAUAAAAAGUAUAUC
Long non-coding RNA from Pantherophis guttatus, 150 nucleotides. RefSeq lists it as uncharacterized. The record is from RefSeq and is a predicted model, not a curated record. Lineage: Eukaryota; Metazoa; Chordata; Lepidosauria; Squamata; Colubridae.